UCCGGGUUGGUCCCGGCCGUCGGGCUAGAAAACCAACUAGCCCCGGGGGUUGCGCUCGUUGCGGGACUUAACCCAACACCUCACGGCACGAGCUGACGACAGCCAUGCAGCACCUGUCUGGUUCGCCUCACGGCCACGGCCUUUCGGCCGCCGAACACCAGAUGUCAAGCCCUGGUAAGGUUCUGCGCGUCGCAUCGAAUUAAACCACAUGCUCCACCGCUUGUGCGGGCCCCCGUCAAUUCCUUUGAGUUUCAGUCUUGCGACCGUACUCCCCAGGCGGAGUGCUUAAUGUGUUGACUUCGGCACAGCAGGGGUCGAUACCCGCUACACCAAGCACUCAUCGUUUACGGCGUGGACUAC
This 360-nucleotide unclassified non-coding RNA is filed under the name uncultured bacterium. RNAcentral's name for it is "contains 16S-23S intergenic spacer region". The record is from RNAcentral.